Molecule: ribosomal RNA, 277 nt
Filed under: uncultured soil bacterium
Lineage: Bacteria
Description: partial 16S ribosomal RNA
Rfam family: Bacterial small subunit ribosomal RNA
Source: RNAcentral
AGAUUGAACGCUGGCGGCAGGCCUAACACAUGCAAGUCGAGCGGCAGCACGGGUACUUGUACCUGGUGGCGAGCGGCGGACGGGUGAGUAAUGCCUAGGAAUCUGCCUGGUAGUGGGGGAUAACGCUCGGGAAACGGACGCUAAUACCGCAUACGUCCUACGGAGAAAGCAGGGGACCUUCGGGCCUUGCGCUAUCAGAUGAGCCGUAGGUCGGUAUUAGCUUAGGUUGGUGAGGUAUGCUCACGAGGCACGAUCCGUAAUGGUCUGAGAGGAUGAU